This is a long non-coding RNA of Alexandromys fortis (reed vole), 8130 nucleotides long. RefSeq lists it as uncharacterized. The record is from RefSeq and is a predicted model, not a curated record. NCBI's taxonomy places the organism in Eukaryota, Metazoa, Chordata, Mammalia, Rodentia, Cricetidae. The transcript has 2 exons.
UGGAGGAGGGAUACGAGGGCCAGAGAUGGGGAGGAGGAGAAAAAAAAUUAAGUAGGACUUUUUUUUGUGUGUGUGUCUGCCAAGAAUGACCCUGAAUUUCUUCUUUAUUCUUUAAAUUUAUUUAUUUACUUCUAUUUUAUGUGUGAAUGCUUUGCAUAUAUACCUGCAUGCCAGAAGAGGACAUCAGAUCCUGUUAUAGACGGAGUUGAGCCAUCAUGUGGGUGCUGGGAACUGAACUCGGGACCUCUGGAAGAGCAGCCAGUGCUCUUAACCAUCAGGCCAUCUCUCCAGCCCCAGCCUUGAACUUCUUGUCUUCUACUUGGCCUCCCUGCGUGUCUGGAUCACAGACACACUCCGCGCUCCACCGUACCUGGUUUAUUCAGGGCCGUACAUGCUAGGCAAACUCUCUACCGAGCAAGUACAUGUUUUAAAUGAGGCAGGGUCUUGUGUGGCCCAGGUUGGACCCAGACUCACCGUCUUUCUGCCUCAGCCUCCAUGGUACUGGGAUUAUAGGCAUACGGUCCCUUGCCCAACUAUUUAAACAGGAAUUACAAAUUUAAACUCCUCUGCUUUUUUAAAAUUUAAAAACACAGAGGAAACAUCCUAAAGAGAUAGGUACCAAAAUGUUAACAAUGUUUCUUUGCUUUUUCACCCUGAGCAGCGGAGCUCUGGACGCUCUUAGUUUCCUUCCUUCUCCUCUCUGUGCAUCCUGAAUAUGGUGCAGGACUCAUAGCGUCUUUAUAGUACUGAUGACGGCGGCUGGGGAUCCAGCUCUGUAGGAGACCUAGCAUGUGGGAGGCCUUAGGUUCCAUCCCUAGUACCAAAAAGCAAAGGAGAUAGUAUUGUCUGUGAAAGGACUAGGAGAUGGCUCAGUCAGUGAAGCGCUUGCCUCAUAAGCGUUAGGACCUGAGUAAAAUCUCCACGUAAAAAGCCACAUGUGGCGUACUUGCUUGUAAUCCCAGCUGUUGGGAGAUUGGAGGCAGAUAUAGGGGAUCCCUGGAGCUUGCUAGCCAGCUGGUGAAGGUCCAGGACAAUAAGAGACCUUGUCUCAAAAAGGUAGACAGCCCCCUGAGUACAGACGCCCAAGGUUGCCCUCUGACCCCAGGACUCGGGGCGUUACCCACUGUUGUUCUCCUGGUCCUGAUGACCACACAUUCAUGUUCAAGGCAGUUCCUAGCAUCAAGCUUCCGCAGGUGAAGUGAGCCCGCUUUCCGGAGGGGAGAGGAUGUCACUGACUGUAGAUCUUUCCGGUCAUUGUAGCAGCCACCCAGUGUUGUCUUCUUCAGGAUUCUGGGAGGAAACCUUUUGUCUACCUUAACACAGUUAGACCCUACACUUCAUGCUCAGAUCACCGGAAUGGAUGCCCUGACCACAUGACAAAAGGCUGUGGGUGAAAAAUUCAGACAAGAGCUACUGGGGCAAUGUGCAGCACGCAGAGCUUCAGUGACUGUCUGAGGACCACACAGCUAGUGGCAAGUAGCAUCUCAGAGACGUAAGCCCAGGCAGCCUAGCUCUAGCAGCUGAGCUGAGCUAGAACCAAUAGCUUCUGUAUAGCCCAAGGAAAAAGUUGAAAUGUAAAAAGAGAUUUAAACUGAAAAAAAAAGUCAAAAUAAUUAUCUAACUAACAAUAAAUCAGGGCAGGGCAUGGUGGUACAUGCCUUUAUUCCCAGCACUGAGGAGGCAGAGGCAGGAGGAUCUCUGUGAGUAUGCUGUUAGCCUGGUCUACAGAGCAAGCUCCAGGACAGCCAGGACUACAUAGACCCUUUCCCAAAAAUCCAAAUAAAUUAAAUAAGUAAAUAAAUGAAUAGAAACCAGGAACAACUUAAGUAGUCAAUACUGGUAAAUUGAUAACUUGUUUCUGUGAUGAGAUUUUGUUCUGUCAGCCAGGCUAGUUUGGGAUUCUUGGGUUCAUGUGAUCAUCCCGCCUCAGCCUACUGCGCAGCUGGGAAGACGGGUGUGUGCUGCUGUGUCCAGCUAGUUGUUAGAGUCCUGAACCACAGAGGCGGAGCUUCUCAGGCAAUGACCUUAAUUUUCUUCACGUGGUUUCUGCGGUACCAGCUUUAUCGUCCUUGUGAUGGCAUCUUCUGAAGGAAGAAACCGAGGCUUCUGGGAGGUGAGUGCUUUGCUCGCCUUCUAGUGACUAAUGACUGAAACGGGACAGUUGACUCUGACGUCAUGUGUCCAGCCGUGUGAUCGACUCUUAGAAGCCAUUGAAAUAUAUUUUUUUUCAAGAGCAGGAGAGAUGGCUGGAGAUAUGGCUCAGUAGUUAAGAGCAUGUAUUGCUCUUGCAGAGGAGCUGCGUUUGAUUCUCAGCACUCACCACUCACAUUGCCCUAUAACUCCAGGGGCUCCUGCACCCUCUUCUGACAUCCAUGGGCACCUGCACUCAUAUGCACAUACCCCCCCAAUUUAAAAAUAAAACAAACAUUUUAAAGAUAUUUUCCCAAGCAAUUUCACUUGAUUGAAGAAAUGAAAAGGAAAGGAAUGAAAAGAGAAACAAAAGUUAUAACCACAGUGCAUGAAACUGUCUGCGGCAUCUAAAAGCAUACUCUGCACAACAGGAAGCAUAUUCCCAGAAGUCACAGGAGUCUGGACAUGGCCAGAACUUGUGAGCACUCAGAGAGGGCAGGGAGCCAGGGCCGAUGUUUUUUUGCAAGGUCCGCACCUCCUACAGUAAGUGUUUUAAUUAUUCUCUUCUUGGGAAGAGGAGCUUUUCAAAAUGUUUAAAAAGCAAUCAAGAGAACAAGAAGCUACAGUGCCCUGGCCUGAAGGAGCUGGCAUUCAGGCUGUCUAGCCAGAGACCUGCCACCCUCUGCCAUGUCUGGUGGCCUUCAUUGUGCGUAGCCCCGCUCCCUGAGCACAAUCUUAGGGGAGGGAGUCUUGUCACUUUAAGAGUCGCCAUAAUAGGACAAAACUCAUUAGACAUCCAUGCAGUCAGUACACAGUGAUGUUUGUUAAAGAGCCACAAACAGACAAGCUGCAUUAAAGCCCCCCAACUGUAAUGAGAAACACCCAUCAAGCACCUUUGUUAUGGUAUCUCAAGCUAUACCCUAAUAUUCUAAAUGUUUUACUCACCUCCCCCCCCCCAUUUUUUUGGUUCUCUUUUUCAACUUUGGUUUUCCGAGACAGGGUUUCAAGCAGCCCAGGCUGUUUUGAACUUGAUAACAGAGGUUGACCAUGAACUACUUGCUGGUGGUCCUCCUGCCUCUACCUCCCAAGUACUGGGAUUACAGGCGUGCACCAUCACACCAAGUUUGUGUAGUGCAGGGAAUUGAACUCAGAGAUUCAGCCACGCUAGGCAAGCUGUCUGCCGACUCAAGUCACAUCCUCAACCCUCAUUUUUGGUUCUCUUAGAGAAAUUAAAUACUGGCAACAUGCUGGCUCUCUUCGCUGGGGUUCCAUCCACUCUUUGCCCUUCUCUGCCUACCUCUGGAUCUGGGAUGUGACUUUGACUGUAUCUGCAUGUUCUCUUGUUCGUUGGCUUUUGGGUAGGCUUGGGCACUAGGGAGGUGCUGGGGGGGUAUCCCAGGGACUUUCCUCUGUCCCUGUAUGCUCUGGAGCUGCCUCCGCAGCAGCUGCCCCUCUUCCCAGCUCUUCCAGGAUAUCCCAAGGUCUAUUCUUUCCUCGGCUCACCCCCUUCUGAUGUCACGGUCAGGUGAUGCCACAGCCCUUGCCAACUUCCUUUCCAUCAUCCAUCUCUAUAGGAGUUCCACUUUCCUUCUUCCAUACAUCCAGGCCAGACAGUGGGGUCCUGUUUCUCAGCUGAACCCUACACAGAUAGAUUCUGAUGGUCCUGAUGAAUUUCAGAUAAGGGCACCAAGGGUUAGAUAUCUACAGUUAUCUAGAUGGUGAAAAGCAGAACAGAACUCCAGACCUGGCGUCUGGUUGCAAAAGACCCUUCACAUGUCAUCUAAUGUUGGUAUCCAGCAAGUGGUGUGUGCGCUUUGAAAUCAAUGGCAAAUGUCGGACACCGAAGUAGCCCCAGGGUCCAGCUAUCACUGGCGGGGAGAGAGUUUCUUGUCCCUAAACUGGAUAUGUGCUUUUUCUCUCCUCUUUUCCUAAGUGCUCUAUGGGAGGAGAUAGAUUUCCACAUCAGGGAGGUUGCAGUUUUAGGGUCCUGGGGGCUGUGUGGUUAGACCUGAUUGUCAAGGCCCCUUGAGCUCGCACAACCUACAAGGGAGAGCUGCCUUGAUGCCAGGAGGCAGCUGCUUGUUCAGGGGGCAGGUGUGCAAAUGUAGAAGCCAGGUGUGGUGGCAGACGGAUGUAAUUCCAGCUCGGGCUACACAGCGAGGUCCUAUCUUAAUAAUCCAAAACAGUUAAAUGAACAUAAUAAAUGAAAUGAUCACAAAAGGCAUGUGUGAGAUGAGGCUGAGGGACCCUGGGCAGCUUACAUCAGACCUGGCUGGGGGAGUGGGCGGCAUCUUCUCCAUGACGCUGGGGCCACCAAUAUUCAGAACACAUUCCUGGAGACCCUGUGUCCAAACUGGGACUCUGCUUUGUCAGUGCAUGAAUGCAGCCACCUUUUUAGAGAGAUCUUGAAGUAAAAUGAAUUCAACAUGAAAAAGCCUUUUAGGCGUGGUUAUGGCUCAGUAGGGAGAGGGCUCAUCUAGCAUAUGCAAGACUCUGGGUUCAGUCCCUAGCCAAGCCUGGUUAUUGGUUCUUACUUGAAUCGGUAUCAAUGUUUUUCUUAGAUGCUCAUAGAAUUACAAAGCUAGCGGGGGAAAAGCAUGACUGCUUUGCUUGCUUACCUUAUAUGUGUUUAACUGGGCUGCUAAUAAAUGAUUUAGCCAAAAAAAAUUACCCCGUGACUUCAAAGAGUCCAGAUAAGCCUGUGUUCUCACACAGAAAUGAUUUCAUGACUUGUAGAUAAAAGGCCUGGAGGAGUCUGCUGACCUGGAACGCAAUGAGGUGACUCCCUCCCGAGCAGAGACCUGGGGUGAGUCUGCACUGUGGAAAGUCCUGGAUUCUUGUUCACUGUGGACUCUGCUAGUGCCAUUUAUUAACACAAACAACAUCCCAAUUUUUUCUCCUCAGAGUGGCCAUGAUGAACACAAGGUAUAGAAUUUGUGGAAAGAAAAUGUUUUGUUUCCUGUCCUUUUUUUUCCCUCUGUCAACUGUUACUGGGUCUGGAGGUCUUAUGACCUCUCUGCAAACAUCACAAAAGGCUUUUGUUCCCCUGGGUGUGGAUUUUAUCUCACUGAGCUGUAGGGAUGAACUCUCCAGUGCUUUUCUGAAGUGCCAAGGACUUGUUCCUAUACUUCAGGGAAGCUGACAGUCACAGGACUAAGGGUCCAAGGAUUGUGUGGUCCUGAUGUUGAGGCAGGGGACAGCCCAUGGGCCUGUGAUUCAUUGACCCAGAGCAGGAAAAGGGAAGGAAGGAGGGUCAUGGGACUUUGUAAGUAUGUGUGUGUUUAUUCUAGCAGUCAUAUCUGGGUUCAGCACUUAGGACCUGAUACUCAGAUGCCAUGAGACUAGAUGCCUAUCCCUUCCGUGGGGAGCUUUUUAGUAUGUUGUUGAUUGCCUAAGAAUGGAGAGAGGAAAAUACGUAAGAUUGCUUAUGUGUCUGUAUGUAUAUGUAUGCAUCUGUGAUGUGGGAUUCACCUCUGUAUGCUGUGAAUAUGUUUUGUUACCAUUGGUUAAUGAAUAAAGCUACGUUGGCCUAUGGCAGGGCAGAAUAGAGCAAGGCAGGAAUUCCAAACAGAGGUAGAGGAGAAAGUAGGUGGAGUCAAGGAGAUGCCAUGUAGCUGCUAAAGGAGACAGACACUCCUGAACCUUACCAGUAAACCAUGAGCCGCAUGGUAAAAUAUGAAAUAAUAGGAAUGGAUUAAUUUAAGAUGUAAGAGUUAGUUAAUAAGAAGCCUGAGCUAAUAGGCCAAGCAGUGUUUUAAUUAAUACAAUUUCUGUGUGAUUAUUUCAGGUAUGAGUGGCUGGGAACAAACAAGCAAUCUCCACUUACACAUUUGUGUAUGGUGCAUCUGAGUAUAUAUGUUUGUAUGUCACUGUGUCUGCAUGUAUAUAUUCACAUUCAUGUAUCUAAAUGCAUACAUUUAUGUAAGUAAAUGUGUAUAUGCAUAUAUAUGCACGCAUAUAUGCACUUGUAUAUAUGCAUAUAUUGUAUAUUUGUGUAUGUACUUGAAUAUGCAUGUGUAUGAAUGUCUUGCUGCAUCUGUGUAUGUGUGUAUAUUUGUGUGUAUAUGUAUAUUUCUACACAUGUAUACAUAUGUCUAUAUGUGUGUAAACAUAUGCAUGAAUAUAUUCAUGUCUACGUGUAUGCAUAUUCAUUCAUGUAUGUAUGUGAAUUGUAUGCAUAUGUGUAUGUAAAGGUAUAUAUGUGUUUAUAUAAUUUACACAUGUAUAUGUGUGUAUGCAUAUACAUGUGUGUAUAUUGGGGUAUAUAUAAACAUUUAUGUUUGCAUGCUUGUGAAUAAGUAUGUAUAUACAUGUUUGUGCAUUUGUGUGUAUACAUACAUGUGGAAUAUAAUGCUGGUUGACCUCCUGUUUUUAGCUCCUUGUACUCUGGGUCUUCAUUGUAUGGUGGUCAUAAUGAUCCUUAUAUGGGAGGCAAAGCCCAGAGUUUGGGUUCUCGUUGUCACUGACACCAUGCCCUGGUGAUGGACUCCUCACAGCACCUGGACGUGAUGGACGCCCUUGCCUUCUUGAAGGUAUCACUCCUUAUAGCCUUCUCCCACUCCCUCUCUGUGGCAUUGGCCGGGCAGUGAGGUCCAACAGAAAGACCCAUUUGUAGUGGCUCAUCUCCACACUUGUUGACACUCCUUACUUUACAGCUAAAAAUCAACCUUCCUUACGCUGAUCUCAGUUUCUCACUGUUUCUCUGGAACUCUCCCUGGAAUGUAGUGGAACUUUCCAAAGAAUUAGUUGAGAAAAGCCCAAGACAGACAGAUCCCUCAAGUGACAGUUUGUCUGGUCACUUAGAGGAGGUCUGGGGAGAAUGGAGAGGCAGCGGGGAGGCCGUUAGAGGAAGAGUCAGGACUGUGAGAUCACUCUGGGUCUGGGUCUGGGUCUGGAUCAGAGACUUCAGAGGCUGUCAGAAGUGAAAGGCUAGCUGUGCUAUGCUUACACUCACAAAUGGUGUGACCUCUCUGAUCUCAAAGUGUUUAUAGGAAACCUGAACAAAACACAUCCCAUAAAUUACGGCAUUCUCCCGCCUGUCUCUGUCUCCUCUCCCCGCAUUCCCUCUGAUAAUAAGGCAGCAGAGUGCUUUCCGCUCUCCCUGCACCCGGUUACUUCAUCUGCUUCCUCAGAGGGUGACACCAGCCCAUCACUAGCUAAGCAGGACUUAAUACAGAUUCCUUCCUAUCCUUUAAAAACAGCCUCCCAACUGGCCACACUUCCUCCCGACGGAGUGAGUACAGGGGCGGCUGAUAAAUUGCCUGGAUCCACUGGGUGGCCAAUUCCCGAUUCUCUUCUGCCAAGGUUGCACUCAGCAGCUUUCCCCGAAUUCUGGCAGGGAUGUUUGCAGAGAAACAGAUCCUUUGAUGGCUCCAUCAAAUAUCUCGGGGGCCAGGGGAAUGUGGGCCAAGUUAGUGAAGUUAUAAUCAGGGCGUUACAUUUAUCUUGCUUGACACACCAGACCCUGACCAAAAAUGUACAGUGCGUGUCCUAGGAAAGUGUGAAUAGUGACUCCUCUGUACUGCGGGGUUGGGCAAUGUGGUCUUCUCAAGGUUCUACAUGUGACUGGGAGCCCGCAACAGAGAGGACCAUGGUCAUGGCCAUUGGAGAAGGGGGAGUCAUGUGGCUGCUUUAAAGGCCUUGUACCAGCACCAUCAAGAGAAUUUUCUACAAGAUUGGAAUGUUUCAUUUCUGUGUUGUCUGAUUUAGCAGCCAUGAAUUUAUUUGAACCCUUGGAUGGAGGCUGGAAUGAGUAAUGGCAUCCUGUUUUUUUUUUUUUCUGAAGUAUUUAAAUGAGGGUUUAGUAGGUGGCUCAGGAGGUAAAGGUGUUUGUUAACAAGUCCAACAACCUGAGUUCAAUCCCCGAGACCCACAUGGUGGAGAGAAUUGACUUGUGCAAAUUGUUCUCUGAUGUCCAUAAGUGCACACCAUGCACAAUCCCCCUCCCUCCUCAUAUAUUAUAUAAUAAAGUAAUAAAAAUGUAAAAAGUGUUUAAAUGGA